RNAcentral lists this ribosomal RNA (495 nucleotides) under uncultured bacterium. RNAcentral describes it as "partial 16S ribosomal RNA". It matches the Rfam family "Bacterial small subunit ribosomal RNA", at positions 29 to 506 of the family's 1533-position model. The record is from RNAcentral.
AUGCACGCUGGCGGCGUGCCUCAUACAUGCCAGUCGAGCGAACAGACGAGGAGCUUGCUCCUCUGACGUUAGCGGCGGACGGGUGAGUAACACGUGGAUAACCUACCUAUAAGACUGGGAUAACUUCGGGAAACCGGAGCUAAUACCGGAUAAUAUAUUGAACCGCAUGGUUCAAUAGUGAAAGACGGUUUUGCUGUCACUUAUAGAUGGAUCCGCGCCGCAUUAGCUAGUUGGUAAGGUAACGGCUUACCAAGGCAACGAUGCGUAGCCGACCUGAGAGGGUGAUCGGCCACACUGGAACUGAGACACGGUCCAGACUCCUACGGGAGGCAGCAGUAGGGAAUCUUCCGCAAUGGGCGAAAGCCUGACGGAGCAACGCCGCGUGAGUGAUGAAGGUCUUCGGAUCGUAAAACGCUGUUAUUAGGGAAGAACAAAUGUGUAAGUAACUAUGCACGUCUUGACGGUACCUAAUCAGAAAGCCACGGCUAACUACGU